Molecule: ribosomal RNA, 429 nt
Filed under: Pseudomonadota bacterium
Lineage: Bacteria; Pseudomonadati; Pseudomonadota
Description: Proteobacteria bacterium partial 16S ribosomal RNA
Rfam family: Bacterial small subunit ribosomal RNA
Source: RNAcentral
UGGGGAAUAUUGGACAAUGGGCGAAAGCCUGAUCCAGCCAUGCCGCGUGUGUGAAGAAGGUCUUCGGAUUGUAAAGCACUUUAAGUUGGGAGGAAGGGCAGUAAGCGAAUACCUUGCUGUUUUGACGUUACCGACAGAAUAAGCACCGGCUUACUCUGUGCCAGCAGCCGCGGUAAUACAGAGGGUGCAAGCGUUAAUCGGAAUUACUGGGCGUAAAGCGCGCGUAGGUGGUUCGUUAAGUUGAAUGUGAAAGCCCCGGGCUCAACCUGGGAACUGCAGCCAAAACUGGCGAGCUAGAGUAGGGCAGAGGGUGGUGGAAUUACCUGUGUAGCGGUGAAAUGCGUAGGUAUAGGAAGGAAGACCAGUGGCGAAGGCGGCCACCUGGGCUCAUACUGACGCUGAGGUGCGAAAGCGUGGGGAGCAAACAGG